AGUGAACGCUGGCGGUAGGCCUAACACAUGCAAGUCGAACGGCAGCACAGUAAGAGCUUGCUCUUACGGGUGGCGAGUGGCGGACGGGUGAGGAAUACAUAGGAAUCUACUUUUUCGUGGGGGAUAACGUAGGGAAACUUACGCUAAUACCGCAUACGACCUACGGGUGAAAGCAGGAGAUCUUCGGACCUUGCGCGACUGAAUGAGCUGAUGUCGGAUUAGCUAGUUGGCGGGGUAAAGGCCCACCAAGGCGACGAUCCGUAGCUGAUCUGAGAGGAUGAUCAGCCACACUGGAACUGAGACACGGUCCAGACUCCUACGGGAGGCAGCAGUGGGGAAUAUUGGACAAUGGGCGCAAGCCUGAUCCAGCCAUACCGCGUGAGUGAAGAAGGCCUUCGGGUUGUAAAGCCCUUUUGUUGGGAAAGAAAAGCAGCAGGUUAAUACCCCGCUGUUCUGACGGUACCCAAAGAAUAAGCACCGGCUAACUUCGUG
This 492-nucleotide ribosomal RNA is filed under the name uncultured bacterium. RNAcentral's name for it is "partial 16S ribosomal RNA". It matches the Rfam family "Bacterial small subunit ribosomal RNA", at positions 29 to 507 of the family's 1533-position model. The record is from RNAcentral.